Cucurbita maxima (winter squash) is the source of this 2512-nucleotide RNA transcript. It is a transcript of the gene named pentatricopeptide repeat-containing protein At1g11290, chloroplastic-like, with no coding region annotated. The transcript has 2 exons. NCBI's taxonomy places the organism in Eukaryota, Viridiplantae, Streptophyta, Magnoliopsida, Cucurbitales, Cucurbitaceae. The record is from RefSeq and is a predicted model, not a curated record.
GUUUUUUAGUAUAUUUUAAACUUUGUUUAUCAAAUUAUUUUUAAUAAGAACUCUUCCAUGAUCUCGCAAGCAAAAAAGUUUCAAAAUCGGGGCUGCUUAUGAUUGUGAUUCGCUGCCGGAGCCUCCUUUUCUUCCGCCGUCUCUGCCACUCAAGUCUCCAACUUCCGGUACCUCCUCGGCCUAUUGAUUCUGAAUCAUGCACCAACUGCAUCAAAAAUUGCAGUACAAUCAAAUCCUUGAAAUGUGUCCACACUUCAAUUCUCAAAGCCAACCUCCACCUCAACUUGUUCUUUUGCACCACUCUCAUUUCCCAGUAUGCGUCGCUUGGCUCUGUUUCGUACGCCUAUUCUCUCUUCUCUUUGUUGCAAUCUCUUGACGUUUUUCUCUGGAAUGUGAUGCUUCGUGGUUUUGUUGAUGCUGGGUUUUAUCGUAAGGCCAUGCUUCUCUAUGCCCAAAUGCUGGAUUUGGGUAUUCGACCUGAUAAUUUUACGUUUCCAUUUGUUUUCAAGGCGUGUGGGUGUGUGCAGGAUUUGGAUUUUGGGGUUAGGGUUCAUUAUGAUUCUGUGAAUUUUGGGUAUGAGUUGGAUGUUUUUGUUGCGAAUUCACUCAUUGCAAUGUAUGGUAGAUGUGGGCGUUCAGAGCUUGCACGAGAGGUGUUUGAUAAAAUGCCUGAAAGAAAUGUGGUGUCCUGGAGUUCAAUCAUUGGUGCUUAUGCACAAAAUGGUCAAUAUAGUUUAGGAGUGUCGUUGUUUUCGCUGAUGUUGGCUGAAGGAUUUCAAUUAAACAGGUCUGUACUGUUGAAUGUCAUGGCGUGCAUACACUCAGAGAAGGAAGCUGAUGAUGUUUGUCGAAUGGCCAUGGAUCAUGAGCUUGGUUUAAAUCAAUCAGUCCAAAACGCAGCAGUUGGUAUGUAUGCACGAUGUGGAAGAAUUGACACAGCUCAAGAGAUCUUUAAUGGAAUUCAUAGCAAGGACUUGGUGUCGUGGGCGUCGAUGAUUGAAGCUUAUGUGCAGGCUGAUCUUCCCCUGAAAGCUAUGGAGAUUUUUAGAGAAAUGACACUCAAAGGUCUUCUGCCUGAUUCUAUCACCCUUUUGGGUGUAAUUCGUGCUUGUUUAGCUUUAGGAUCUUUUAGCCAGGCGUGUUUCGUACAUGGUUUUGUUAUCCGAAGGCUUUUCGGAAACCAAAUAGUGGUUGAAACUGCCAUUGUUGAUCUCUAUGUCAAAUGUGGAAGUUUAAUAUAUGCCAGAAAAGUUUUUGAUAACAUUAAGGAAAGAAAUGUUAUCUCAUGGAGCACCAUGAUUUCAGGCUAUGGAUUACACGGCCAUGGUAGGAAGGCAAUAUGUCUCUUCAAUGAAAUGAAGAACUCAACCAAGCCUGACCACAUAACAUUUGUAUCAAUAUUAGCAGCUUGUAGUCAUGCUGGUUUGGUUGCAGAAGGAUGGGAUUGCUUCAAUGCCAUGUCUAGAGAUUUUGAGCUGAAACCGGGACCCGAACAUUACGCUUGCAUGGUUGAUCUCUUAGGUCGAGUUGGGAAGCUUAAAGAAGCCUUUGAGUUUAUCUCGAAAAUGCCAAUUAGACCCAAUGCUGGGGUUUGGGGUGCAUUACUUGGGGCAUGUAGAAUACAUUCAAAUGUAGAAAUGGCUGAAGUUGCUGCAAUGAAUUUACUCGAGUUGGACCCGGAGAAUCCUGGGAGGUAUGUUCUUCUGUACAAUAUAUACCUUUCAUCUGGAAAAAGAAAAGAAGCAGACCAAAUUAGAGCUCUUAUGAAACAAAGAGGUCUGAGAAAAAUUGCAGGCCACACGAUUAUUCAGAUAAAAAACAAGGUUCAUACAUUUGUGGCCGGGGAUCGAUCUCAUCCACAAACUGAAAUGGUUUACUCCGAGUUGGAUAAAGUGAUUUAUAGGAUUCAAGAAGAAGGGUAUACCCCUGAUUUGAAUUUUGUAUUACAUGAUGUGGAGGAAGAGACGAAGGAAAGGCUUCUAUAUGUGCAUAGUGAAAAGCUUGCUAUUGUUUUUGGGCUCUUGAAUUCUGGAUCAGGUAGCGUCGUUAGACUACAGAAGAAUCUCCGAGUUUGUGUCGAUUGUCAUACUUUUAUGAAGUUCGUAUCGAAGGUUGCAAGGAGAGAAAUUAUAGUAAGAGAUGCUCGUCGGUUUCACCAAUUUAAGGACGGUACUUGCUCGUGUGGGGAUUACUGGUGAGUUUCAUAUAUAUAGAUGUGCGAUCGGUUGAGGAGGAGAACAAAACAUUUUUUAUAAGAGUGUUAAAACCUCUCCCUAGAGGACGCGUUUUAAAAACCUUAAAGGGGAAGCCCAAAAAGAAAACCCUAAAGAGGAUUGGGCUUGAGCUGUUACAAUGAUACACAGACGGAUGAAAUGCGAUGAACUCCUAAAAACGACGGGUAGUUUGGAUCCGAACAUUGCUUGAUUAGAGUUUUAAGGAGGUGACACUUGUCAUGAGGUGGUUGGAGCUGUUCUACUUCAGGGCCAAUUGACCAGGUCGGGUUUUGGAGUUA